This is a long non-coding RNA of Anopheles coluzzii, 555 nucleotides long. RefSeq lists it as uncharacterized. The record is from RefSeq and is a predicted model, not a curated record. The transcript has 3 exons. NCBI's taxonomy places the organism in Eukaryota, Metazoa, Arthropoda, Insecta, Diptera, Culicidae.
GAGAACAAUAGUUGAAAUGUAAAUCAGAAUAAAUUAAAUUCAUUUGAUGUAAAAUAAAUUCCAUUAUACUCUAUUUUGACCAUAUGAUCAACACUUAUACAUAGUGCCAUUUAUUUUGUGUUCUUCACUCUCGCGCUGUGUUGUGAUCGUUCGAAACUCAUUGCCAGAACGAAUGCAAAUUUCAUUUUGGAAGGAUUGGUGCUGGAAGAUGCAACGAAAAUAAUUAAAUGUUAAUAGAAAAGAGGUUAAGUAAAUCGUGAAAGAUGUCAACGCAGGCGUAACUGCAGUUUGUUUUGUUACAUGAUCUACGGCUAUUUCAUUGCCAAAGCUCCUGAUAACAGAUCAAAGCAGAUGGAUCGGGCUUACAGAGUCGCCAUUUAACUUAAAAUAUCUUCGUGAUCGGAAAACGCAUCAAACAGCAAGUGUUUUUCUUCCAACAGCACGCGCCAUCGGUGGAGCAAGCAGCCAACGUUUUGAUCGCCAGUACGCGCCAUCAAGAAUUGAAAUAUUCCCGAAUAGCUCUGUGAAUAAAAAACUGCACACUUACUGUCGGAA